Molecule: long non-coding RNA, 1513 nt
Filed under: Marmota monax (woodchuck)
Lineage: Eukaryota; Metazoa; Chordata; Mammalia; Rodentia; Sciuridae
Source: RNAcentral
GGAAGUUUGCUGGCAGCUGGAAGUUUGCUGGGGCCCCUUUGGCUGUGGCUCUCAACACCACCUCUUUUUUUUUGAGACAAGGUCUCAAAAUUUUCUGGGCUGGCCUCAAACUUGUGAUCCUCCUGCCUCAGCCUCCCAAGUUCGAGGAUUAUAGGCAAGUGCCAUAUACCCAGCCUGAGAUGAGCUUUAUAUGUCAUUUCAUGCUCAGAAUGAGCAUUUCAAGUAAGUCCUACCAAUGUUCCUGGGUCACAGGGAAGGACAUGAUGCCGGUAGAUUAAGGUCAUGUCUUUUAUAGGAAAAUACUGGAACCAAUGGGCAUGAUGGUGCACACCUAUAAUCCCAGCUACUCUGGAGGCUGGAGCUGGAGUAUCACAAAUUCAAGGGAAGCCUCUGCAACUUAGCAAAACCCUGUCAUGCAAUUCAGUGACAUAAAGUUCCCCUCAAUUCAAUCCCAAGUACUGCAAAAAGAAAAAAGAAAAGAAAAGAAAAACCAGAAUACUGGAGCCUAUUUUGUAAGUGGAGAACUGGCAACAUGGGAAGAAUGGGAAGAGCAGGUGGAGGAUCUUUCUUGUUGGGUUCACUAGUUCUGAUAUGCUGUUGGUCUGAUGGUCAUUAAUUUGGCUCGCCUGUGUGCUGGUGCUAUGCAGUGGAGGCUAGGCAUAGGGAGCAGCGGGGCAGAAAACAGGCAGUGAGCACCUGGAGCCUUGGGCCAGUUGGGGCCAGAGCUCUGGAACAGCCAGGCCUGGGGCCUUCUCCCAGGCCUGCCCUUCGGUUGCAUCACCCUACACAAAAACCUAACCCCCGUGAGGCCCCGUUCUUUAUCUAGUUGUGGCGAGUUGGGUUACUGGCUUCCCAGGGCUCCGGUGAGGGUGAGAUAACACGUGUGCCUACCAGCUCAGCAAUGGGCACACUGUAGGAUGAGAGGAGCUGGUAAGAGUGUUGGGAGCAUGAACAGGAGAGGUCUGAGCAGGGGCAGGGGCCCCCCUUGUUCAGGUUGAUGGCCGUGAAGAAGCCACUGGGGUUCUUCAAGUAAGGGGGAAGUCUCAGGUUGUUUUUAGGGCAGCCACAGGAAAUGAUGGAAGCCACGUAGGCAGCUUUGCAGGCCUGAGUGAGCCAUGCAAAGUGGCAGAGGAACCAGAGGACCCCAAUCUAGGCUUGGGAGUGGGUGCCUGCUGGAGGUGAAGUUGCAGCAUUGUCCGUGAUGAGAUAAAUGGAAGACGGCUCUUGCAAUUCCACAGCUACAGAAGGAGGGGGCAAAGAGGAAGGAAGGUGACGGGCAUCUCCUUGGAUGACCUGGGGGCAGUGCAGGUAGAACUCAGUGCUCUCCACAGGAUCGUGUAGGUGCCAGACUCUUGCUGUGAGUCGCAGGCUCCAUCUGGUACCUUGUUAAAAUACCAGUUCCUGAUUCCAUUUGACCUCCUGGAUCUGCAUCUGCAAGAGCAAAACCCCAGGAUGAGCAGGCUGCACAGGGACACUUGGCCACCACCUGAGCUCCCUUAGAGGGUGAGCCGUC